This 209-nucleotide long non-coding RNA is filed under the name Physcomitrium patens. Its description in RNAcentral is "long non-coding RNA (PPAT_LNC010065)". The record is from RNAcentral. Lineage: Eukaryota; Viridiplantae; Streptophyta; Bryopsida; Funariales; Funariaceae.
AGCUUUUACCUUCAUAAUUUACUUUCUUCAAAAUUAGAAACAAAAAAAGAAGUUCUUUCAAUUUUUCUAUAGCUUUUUAGAAUUGUUGUUUUACUUAUUCUGGAAGAAACCUCCCAGAAUAAAUCCAUAUAGGGGAAUUCGAACCCAAGGAAAGACCAUGUAUAUGAGCUCCAAUUGUUAGGGUCACACAAUUAACUGCUAUUGCUGAA